This 469-nucleotide ribosomal RNA is filed under the name uncultured Clostridiaceae bacterium. RNAcentral's name for it is "bacterial SSU rRNA". It matches the Rfam family "Bacterial small subunit ribosomal RNA", at positions 33 to 507 of the family's 1533-position model. The record is from RNAcentral. Lineage: Bacteria; Bacillati; Bacillota; Clostridia; Eubacteriales; Clostridiaceae.
UCCGUGCGACAGGAGACGCUGGCGGCGUGCCUAACACAUGCAAGUCGAGCGAGUGGAGUUCUUGAACAAAGCUAGCGGCGGACGGGUGAGUAACACGUGGGCAACCUGCCUCAUAGAGGGGAAUAGCCUUCCGAAAGGGAGAUUAAUACCGCAUAAGAUUGUAGCUUCGCAUGAAGUAGCAAUUAAAGGAGCAAUCCGCUAUGAGAUGGGCCCGCGGCGCAUUAGCUAGUUGGUGAGGUAACGGCUCACCAAGGCGACGAUGCGUAGCCGACCUGAGAGGGUGAUCGGCCACAUUGGGACUGAGACACGGCCCAGACUCCUACGGGAGGCAGCAGUGGGAAUAUUGCACAAUGGGGGAAACCCUGAUGCAGCAACGCCGCGUGAGUGAUGACGGCCUUCGGGUUGUAAAGCUCUGUCUUCAGGGACGAUAAUGACGGUACCUGAGGAGGAAGCCACGGCUAACUACGUG